CUGGUCUCCGAGCCGUACUUGUUCUUCACCACCAGCCCGUACUUGCCGGAGUCGGCUGUGCUCACACCCGAGAUGGUGAAGUAGGCUGUCUUCCCAGCCUCGAAGCGCAGGUUGCAGUGGUCGUCAGAGGCCAGCGGCCGCUCGUUCUUCAGCCAGGAGACCUCGGGCACUGGGUCGCCCCACACAGAGCAGGAAUGCACCGCCCUCCUUUUACGAGCCUUGCCUGUGACAACUGAUGCCACCAGCUGUCUCACAUACACCCUGCCCUAGUUCUUCCCACGCUUGUAAUCAGUUGAUACUGGAGGUCUUGGGUGCCUGGUGUCUCUGCUGCCCAGAUCAGCUCAGAUGAUCCCAGACCCCUGCUUUCUGUUUAA
This is a non-coding RNA of Heterocephalus glaber (naked mole-rat), 374 nucleotides long. The record is from RefSeq and is a predicted model, not a curated record. Lineage: Eukaryota; Metazoa; Chordata; Mammalia; Rodentia; Bathyergidae.